UGGGGAAUAUUGCACAAUGGAGGGAACUCUGAUGCAGCGACGCCGCGUGAACGAAGAAGGCUUUCGAGUCGUAAAGUUCUUUUAUAUGGGAAGAUAAUGACGGUACCAUAAGAAAAAGCCCCGGCUAACUACGUGCCAGCAGCCGCGGUAAUACGUAGGGGGCUAGCGUUGUCCGGAAUCACUGGGCGUAAAGGGUUCGCAGGCGGAAAUGCAAGUCAGGUGUAAAAGGCAGUAGCUUAACUACUGUAAGCAUUUGAAACUGCAUAUCUUGAGAAGAGUAGAGGUAAGUGGAAUUUUUAGUGUAGCGGUGAAAUGCGUAGAUAUAUGGAGGAACACCGGUGGCGAAAGCGGCUCUCUGGUCUGUAACUGACGCGGAGGCUCGAAAGCGUGGGGAGCGAACAGG
Molecule: ribosomal RNA, 403 nt
Filed under: Bacteroidota bacterium
Lineage: Bacteria; Pseudomonadati; Bacteroidota
Description: Bacteroidetes bacterium partial 16S ribosomal RNA
Rfam family: Bacterial small subunit ribosomal RNA
Source: RNAcentral